CUUGCUUUUAAGCUUAGUGGCGAACGGGUGAGUAACACGUGAGCAAUCUGCCUUUCAGAGGGGGAUAACAUUUGGAAACAGAUGCUAAUACCGCAUAAGAUUACAGUACCGCAUGAUACAGUGAUCAAAGGAGCAAUCCGCUGAAAGAUGGGCUCGCGUCCGAUUAGAUAGUUGGUGAGGUAACGGCUCACCAAGUCGACGAUCGGUAGCCGGACUGAGAGGUUGAACGGCCACAUUGGGACUGAGACACGGCCCAGACUCC
RNAcentral lists this ribosomal RNA (262 nucleotides) under uncultured Oscillospiraceae bacterium. RNAcentral describes it as "partial 16S ribosomal RNA". It matches the Rfam family "Bacterial small subunit ribosomal RNA", at positions 79 to 339 of the family's 1533-position model. The record is from RNAcentral. Lineage: Bacteria; Bacillati; Bacillota; Clostridia; Eubacteriales; Oscillospiraceae.